AGAAGUGAAAGCCCUGGGCUCAACCCGGGAAUUGCUUUUGAAACUAUUGAACUUGAGUAUAGGAGAGGUGAGUGGAAUUCCCAGUGUAGAGGUAAAAUUCGUAGAUAUUGGGAGGAACACCAGUGGCGAGGGCGGCUCACUGGCCUAUUACUGACGCUGAGGCACGAAAGCGUGGGGAGCAAACAGGAUUAGAUACCCUGGUAGUCCACGCCUUAAACGAUGAAUGCUAGUUGUUGGGAAGUCUAACUUCUCAGUGACGCCGCUAACGCAUUAAGCAUUCCGCCUGGGGAGUACGGCCGCAAGGGUUGAAACUCAAAGGAAUUGACGGGGGGCCCGCACAAGCGGUGGAGUAUGUGGUUUAAUUCGACGCAACGCGAAGAACCUUACCAGGCCUUGACAUGGUUAGUAUGGGAUCGGGAGACCGAUUCCUUCAGUUCGGCUGGCUAACACACAGGUGCUGCAUGGCUGUCGUCAGCUCGUGUCGUGAGAUGUUGGGUUAAGUCCCGCAACGAGCGCAACCCUUAUUUUCAGUUGCUACCAGGUUAUGCUGGGCACUCUGAAGAAACUGCCGGUGACAAGCCGGAGGAAGGCGGGGAUGACGUCAAGUCCUCAUGGCCCUUACGGCCUGGGCUACACACGUACUACAAUGGUGGUGACAGUGGGAUGCCAAAGCGCAAGCUGGAGCGAACCCCCAAAAGCCACCUCAGUUCAGAUUGCACUCUGCAACUCGAGUGCAUG
This 738-nucleotide ribosomal RNA is filed under the name uncultured bacterium. Its description in RNAcentral is "bacterial SSU rRNA". It matches the Rfam family "Bacterial small subunit ribosomal RNA", at positions 590 to 1322 of the family's 1533-position model. The record is from RNAcentral.